ACGGGUGCGUAACACGUGAACAAUCUGCCGAGAAGUGGGGGAUAGCUUGCCGAAAGGCAAAUUAAUACCGCAUAUGGCCAUUCUUCUAUUGGAGAAAAAGCCAAAGCCGCAAGGCGCUUCUUGAUGAGUUCGCGGCCUAUCAGCUAGAUGGCGGGGUAACGGCCCACCAUGGCUAUGACGGGUAGCUGGUCUGAGAGGACGACCAGCCACACUGGAACUGAGACACGGUCCAGACACCUACGGGUGGCAGCAGUCGAGAAUUUUUCACAAUGGGGGAAACCCUGAUGGAGCGACGCCGCGUGGAGGAUGAAGGCCUUCGGGUCGUAAACUCCUGUCAUGCGGGAACAAGAAAGUGAUAGUACCGCAAGAGGAAGAGACGGCUAACUCUGUGCCAGCAGCCGCGGUAAUACAGAGGUCUCAAGCGUUGUUCGGAUUCAUUGGGCGUAAAGGGUGCGUAGGUGGUGACGUAAGUCUAAUGUGAAAUCUCGGGGCUUAACCCCGAAAUUGCAUCGGAUACUGCGUGACUAGAGGACUGUAGAGGAGAUUGGAAUUCACGGUGUAGCAGUGAAAUGCGCAGA
This 578-nucleotide ribosomal RNA is filed under the name uncultured bacterium. RNAcentral describes it as "bacterial SSU rRNA". It matches the Rfam family "Bacterial small subunit ribosomal RNA", at positions 102 to 694 of the family's 1533-position model. The record is from RNAcentral.